Molecule: transfer RNA, 72 nt
Filed under: Carex acutiformis
Lineage: Eukaryota; Viridiplantae; Streptophyta; Magnoliopsida; Poales; Cyperaceae
Description: tRNA-Arg
Source: RNAcentral
GGGUCCCUUGUCUAACAGACAGUACAGAGCUCUUCUAAACCUUUGGUAUAGGUUCAAAUCCUAUUGGAGGCA